AGCUGUGACUUACCCAAGAUCAUACAAGAAAGGAAGAGCCAAGCCAGCUGGUACCAAGUGGCUGGGGGCCUGGGAGAUGGAUGUCAGGCCAUCCCCACAGAGCAGGAAACACAGGGAAUGAUGGGAUUCCUGCUCUACUGUUUUGCCCACACAGAUGUUUAUGGAGGGAGACAGCCAAAGGGCCACCGUGAAGAAGACAGGGCACGGCCUGAAAGACAAGAUCUCACCAUGUUGCGCAGUUUGGCCUUCAAAUCAUGACUCCCCCACCUCUGACUCCUGAGUGCUGAGAUUACAGAAGCAGAGCUCCAGGCAACGUCUGGGCACCCAGUGGGCGAAUGCAGAUUGGACAAGCUCUGGCCGGUCUUCAGAUCCCUCAGCAACCAGGUCACCUCCCUCUCCGCAAACCAAUUCUCCAAUUCAGCUCAACCAGUUUAAAGAAAAAGCCCCUCCAUGUCUUCCAGGACCGAACAGAAACCGUCUGUUUGCGACUGUGCUGGGGGCCUCCACUUGUACUUAGAAAUGUGACCAGAAUGGAAUAAGUAACUUUUAAGGAAAUUCUUCCCCGAAGCUCAAACACCCCACAGCUCCAAGGAGACUGCCCUGAAAGGGGAAAAGCCCAGAGAGCUUGGUCAGCUAGCUGCAGUCACCCAGUACAGGACACAGGUCAGGGACAGGAAGGAACCGCACCACUACUAACCA
This is a long non-coding RNA of Mesocricetus auratus (golden hamster), 699 nucleotides long. RefSeq lists it as uncharacterized. Lineage: Eukaryota; Metazoa; Chordata; Mammalia; Rodentia; Cricetidae. The transcript is spliced from 4 exons. The record is from RefSeq and is a predicted model, not a curated record.